GAAAAGAGAGUGCAAGAGAACGUGAAACCGAGAUAAUGGAAACAAAUGGAAUUGACCUAUCUAGUUUGUAUUCAAUAACAUUCAUAUUUUUUACACUAUUAUAUAACAUUCCGUUAAAGUUGUUUUUAUAUAAUAGUUUGUAAUUAUGUACAUGUUAUGCAUUUACAAACAGAGUGCGCUGAAUGAAUUGAUUUUGCCAUUGGAAACUAAUUUAGAGGACUAAUGUACGUUAAAAAUACAUUAGAAACCUAAAUAAUAGUGGACGAUUUGGAUAAAAUUGAUUUCUGUAAUUAUAAUAAGAAAUAUUGGUGUUAUUUGAGCACAUAAUUUUACUAAUACAUGCAUGUUUAUUUAAUAAAACACAUGUGUUUUAUUUUAUUAAUAUGUAUGUUUAUUAGUUUAAAUUAUCCAUGUAUUUCGUAAUUCGGUGUCUAGUCAAUCACCCAUUUGACCCGUCUUGAAACACGGACCAAGGAGUUUAAGGUG
This 486-nucleotide ribosomal RNA is filed under the name Schistonchus macrophylla. RNAcentral's name for it is "partial ribosomal RNA large subunit". The record is from RNAcentral. Lineage: Eukaryota; Metazoa; Nematoda; Chromadorea; Rhabditida; Aphelenchoididae.